AUUGAACGCUGGCGGCGUGCCUAACACAUGCAAGUCGAGCGGUAACAGGUGUAGCAAUACAUGCUGACGAGCGGCGAACGGGUGAGUAAUGCUUCGGAAUCUACCCAAUGGUGGGGAAUAACCAGCCGAAAGGUUGGCUAAUACCGCAUACGUCCCACGGGAGAAAGCAGGGGAUCGCAAGACCCUGCGCCAAUGGAUGAGCCGAAGUCGGAUUAGCUAGNGGUAGGGUAACGGCCUACCAAGGCGACGAUCCGCAGCUGGUCUGAGAGGACGACCAGCCACACUGGGACUGAGACACGGCCCAGACUCCUACGGAGGCAGCAGUGGGGAAUAUUGGACAAUGGGGAAACCCUGAUCCAGCGACGCCGCGUGUGUGAAGAAGGCCUGCGGGUUGUAAA
Molecule: ribosomal RNA, 398 nt
Filed under: uncultured bacterium
Lineage: Bacteria
Description: bacterial SSU rRNA
Rfam family: Bacterial small subunit ribosomal RNA
Source: RNAcentral